GCAGUGUGUAAGUUACAGUAUACAACUUUUUAGCUAAUGUAUUUAAGUAGACUACAGCUGUCAGUGUUCAGCAAGUUAACAUUAAGCAACCUGAAAUCAAUUAGCUAGCUCAGUUACUUCAGUUCAGAGUAGGGCUAGCAAUGAUCAAACUGGUAACUUAAGACUGUUGAUUUUAACGUACAGUUAUGAAAAUGAGGAUUUGUAAUUAAGAUAAAAAAUGUUGGUAAUUGGAUGAUUAGAUGUAACCAUAGACUGUCAACAUUCCUUGUUUGCUUGAUGCUUGCUAUAUCUAAUUGCAGUGUGUAUUUUGGGGGGUAAUUGUGAGCUUUUUUGUACAUAAAUUCAGCAGUUCAUGUAACAGACAGAUGCUACUAUAUCUUAUCUCCUUGGUGCUUAAGCAUUAUUUUCUGAAAAUAUUUUGGAUGUUCAACACUUAUGGGGUGGGUCACAGACAGAGUGACCCAAUUCUUUCUACUAGAUGAGUACUCUGUGUUUGAAUGUGUGUGUUAUUACUAUCAAUACCAGAAAUUUUUGGUCCCCAUGAGGAAACCAGCUUAUAAAUCUUACUAAACCUGCAUUCUACAUUUUUGAAAUGUAAAAAUGCAUUUUUUUAUGUUUAGGUGAUGGAUAGGUUUAGGGGAUGGAAAAUACAGUUUGCACAGUAUAAAAAUAAUUAUGGAAAUUCCCCAUAAAACAUGGAAACCCAUUUGUGUGUGUGUGUGUGUGUGUGUAGCCAUAUGGAAAAGUACCUCAUGACCACGGUUAAAUUAAGUGGUGGCUCUUUAAUGUUUUGGAACUGUUUUUCUGCCAGAGGACCUGGACAUUUUAUUAGAAUACAUGGCAUCAUGGAGUCUAUCAAAUAUCAACGGAUAUUAAAUGAAAACCUGACUGCCUCUGCCAGAAAGCUUAAAUGGGCCGUGGUUGGAUCUUCCAGUAGCAUAAUCACCCAAAAAAUAUGUCAAUAUCAACACAAAAAUGGUUUACUGACCACAAAAUCAAGGUCCUGUGAGGUGAACUGAAGAGGAGAGUCCACCAGCAUGGACCUCAAAAUUUAAAGGAUCUGGAGAGAUUCUGUAUAGAGGAAUGGUCUCAGAUACCUUGCAAUGUAUUCAAUGUAUUCAGGCAUUAUAGGAGAAGACUCAGAGCUUUUAUCUUGGCAAAGGGAGGUAGCACAAUGUAUUGACUAAAAGGGUGUCAAUAUUUGUUGCACACCUUUAAUAAUUUUUUUAUAUAUAUAAAACUGUGUUGUGCUUGAAAUUGUUUGAUAUCCAUGAGAGAAUAGUAUUUUUGAGAAUUUUUUUUUAAGAUCCAAA
Ictalurus punctatus (channel catfish) is the source of this 1313-nucleotide long non-coding RNA. Lineage: Eukaryota; Metazoa; Chordata; Actinopteri; Siluriformes; Ictaluridae. The record is from Ensembl.